This 1012-nucleotide ribosomal RNA is filed under the name Pseudoalteromonas sp. Its description in RNAcentral is "bacterial SSU rRNA". It matches the Rfam family "Bacterial small subunit ribosomal RNA", at positions 52 to 1059 of the family's 1533-position model. The record is from RNAcentral. Lineage: Bacteria; Pseudomonadati; Pseudomonadota; Gammaproteobacteria; Alteromonadales; Pseudoalteromonadaceae.
UAANUGCAGUCGAGCGGUACAGANGGUAGCUUGCUACUUUGCUGACGAGCGGCGGACGGGUGAGUAAUGCUUGGGAACAUGCCUUGAGGUGGGGGACAACAGUUGGAAACGACUGCUAAUACCGCAUAAUGUCUACGGACCAAAGGGGGCUUCGGCUCUCGCCUUUAGAUUGGCCCAAGUGGGAUUAGCUAGUUGGUGAGGUAAUGGCUCACCAAGGCGACGAUCCCUAGCUGGUUUGAGAGGAUGAUCAGCCACACUGGGACUGAGACACGGCCCAGACUCCUACGGGAGGCAGCAGUGGGGAAUAUUGCACAAUGGGCGCAAGCCUGAUGCAGCCAUGCCGCGUGUGUGAAGAAGGCCUUCGGGUUGUAAAGCACUUUCAGUCAGGAGGAAAGGUUAACGGUUAAUACCCGUUAGCUGUGACGUUACUGACAGAAGAAGCACCGGCUAACUCCGUGCCAGCAGCCGCGGUAAUACGGAGGGUGCGAGCGUUAAUCGGAAUUACUGGGCGUAAAGCGUACGCAGGCGGUUUGUUAAGCGAGAUGUGAAAGCCCCGGGCUCAACCUGGGAACUGCAUUUCGAACUGGCAAACUAGAGUGUGAUAGAGGGUGGUAGAAUUUCAGGUGUAGCGGUGAAAUGCGUAGAGAUCUGAAGGAAUACCGAUGGCGAAGGCAGCCACCUGGGUCAACACUGACGCUCAUGUACGAAAGCGUGGGGAGCAAACGGGAUUAGAUACCCCGGUAGUCCACGCCGUAAACGAUGUCUACUANAAGCUCGGANCCUCNGUUCUGUUUUUCAAAGCUAACGCAUUAAGUAAACCGCCUGGGGGAGUACGGCCGCNAGGUUAAAACUCAAAUGAAUUGACNGGGGCCCGCACAANCNGUGGGACCAUGUGGUUUUAAUNCNAUGCAACGCGAANAACCUUACCUACACUUGACAUACANANAACUUACCAAAAAUGGUUUGGUGCCUUCNGGAACUCUGAUACAGGUGCUGCAUGGCUGUCNUCANC